RNAcentral lists this ribosomal RNA (253 nucleotides) under uncultured bacterium. Its description in RNAcentral is "partial 16S ribosomal RNA". It matches the Rfam family "Bacterial small subunit ribosomal RNA", at positions 524 to 776 of the family's 1533-position model. The record is from RNAcentral.
UACAGAGGGGGCAAGCGUUGUUCGGAAUUACUGGGCGUAAAGGGCGCGUAGGCGGCCUGUUAAGUCGAACGUGAAAUCCCCGGGCUCAACCCGGGAACUGCGUCCGAUACUGGCGGGCUUGAAUCCGGGAGAGGGAUGCGGAAUUCCAGGUGUAGCGGUGAAAUGCGUAGAUAUCUGGAGGAACACCGGUGGCGAAGGCGGCAUCCUGGACCGGCAUUGACGCUGAGGCGCGAAAGCCAGGGGAGCAAACGGG